UCGAAUCCUGUGAUACCAGAAUGACUUGUUAACAUGUAACAACAACGGGCAAGCAACUGUGGGCCUUUGGUCCCCUGUCUGUGAACCCAAGGCAGGUGUCACCUUAUGGUUCCCCUCGCCUAAUAAAAUCAACUGGGCGCUAGAUGCGCCAAGGAAGUAAAUAAUGAAUUGUUCGUUCGCUUCUCGUUCGCGGGAAGUGGCGGCGGUCCAAAACAC
This 216-nucleotide ribosomal RNA is filed under the name Daucus carota subsp. maximus. RNAcentral's name for it is "internal transcribed spacer 1". RNAcentral also lists the same sequence under 1 other name. Lineage: Eukaryota; Viridiplantae; Streptophyta; Magnoliopsida; Apiales; Apiaceae. The record is from RNAcentral.